UAAGGAAUAUUGGUCAAUGGACGCAAGUCUGAACCAGCCAUGCUGCGUGGAGGAUUAAGGCCCUCUGGGUUGUAAACUCCUUUUAUCUGGGAAGAAAUGUACUUUUUCUUGAGUACUUGACGGUACCAGAGGAAUAAGCACCGGCUAACUCCGUGCCAGCAGCCGCGGUAAUACGGAGGGUGCAAGCGUUAUCCGGAUUCACUGGGUUUAAAGGGUGCGUAGGUGGGCAGGUAAGUCAGUGGUGAAAUCUCCGGGCUUAACCCGGAAACUGCCGUUGAUACUAUUUGUCUUGAAUAUUGUGGAGGUAAGCGGAAUAUGUCAUGUAGCGGUGAAAUGCUUAGAUAUGACAUAGAACACCAAUUGCGAAGGCAGCUUACUACACAAUCAUUGACGCUGAGGCACGAAAGCGUGGGGAUCAAACA
RNAcentral lists this ribosomal RNA (422 nucleotides) under uncultured bacterium. RNAcentral describes it as "bacterial SSU rRNA". It matches the Rfam family "Bacterial small subunit ribosomal RNA", at positions 355 to 774 of the family's 1533-position model. The record is from RNAcentral.